ACCCUUCGGGUAUCCCUAGACGAUUGUGUUGAUUCAGUUCCUCAGCGGAAUUUUUGAUUCCCCAGUGGAGCUUCUCUCCCUUUUAUUAGCUGAGUUGGUUGAUUCAGGUACCCUGCGACUUGUCUCCCUCGACAGAGUUUCUGCCUUCCCCAGUGGAGUUUGGUUUCCUUCAGCAGAAGUGAUUGAUCUCCCUAGUAGAUCGCAUUGGUUUCCCCUCCAAUCGCAAGUCGACUUGCUCCCCAAUCAGAGUUU
Molecule: long non-coding RNA, 252 nt
Filed under: Lathyrus oleraceus (garden pea)
Lineage: Eukaryota; Viridiplantae; Streptophyta; Magnoliopsida; Fabales; Fabaceae
Description: Pisum sativum (pea) long non-coding RNA (PSAT_LNC005946)
Source: RNAcentral